Molecule: ribosomal RNA, 398 nt
Filed under: uncultured bacterium
Lineage: Bacteria
Description: bacterial SSU rRNA
Rfam family: Bacterial small subunit ribosomal RNA
Source: RNAcentral
GGAAUAUUGGACAAUGGGCGAAAGCCUGAUCCAGCAAUGCCGCGUGAGUGAUGAAGGCCUUAGGGUUGUAAAUCUCUUUUACCCGGGAUGAUAAUGACAGUACCGGGAGAAUAAGUUCUGGCUAACUCCGUGCCAGCAGCCGCGGUAAUACGGAGGGAGCUAGCGUUGUUCGGAAUUACUGGGCGUAAAGUGCACGUAGGCGGCCAUUCAAGUCAGAGGUGAAAGCCCAGGGCUCAACCCUGGAACUGCCUUUGAAACUAGAUGGCUAGAAACCUGGAGAGGCGAGUGGAAUUCCGAGUGUAGAGGUGAAAUUCGUAGAUAUUCGGAAGAACACCAGUGGCGAAGGCGACUCGCUGGACAGGUAUUGACGCUGAGGUGCGAAAGCGUGGGGAGCAAAC